GGACCCGGCAAUGAGGCAGUGCUUACCAGGUUCUCCAAGGCCACCCCAGCCGAAACGCGGAAAGAGUCCUGAUCAGCCUGACUCCAUUUCAGCUCAGACACUGCCCUGCCAGUUUGUACUUCCCUUAAUCACCACGUCCUCACUCUGGACACCGUAUCGGGAUGUGAGGCAGGGAACCUAUUCACAGCUCCAAAGAGGCCUGGUCCCCUGUUUGGAUCUCCCCAAAGGGUACUUACUUGUUUUCUCCGCUCUUUGAGAUUUUUGCUUAAUUUCAAAUUUCCAAAAUAUGCCAUAAGUGAACACUAAAAAUGUUGGAACACUAUGGCUACUCUACUAUGCUUGGGCAGGGAAAAUUAACAGCUGAUAAACUGUGAGUACAAAGGAUGCCAAAGUUCAUUCUGAGUUUUAAUAUCAUCUAGAUAAAAAACAAGAAAAGCAGCAAGUCUACACCUCAGCGCUCUCUCCAAGUGACACACCCACUCACAUCUGCACACACAUUACUCACACUCAUACACACUCUGUCACCCUCACAUACAUUCACAUUUACUCACAUGUCCUCUAGGCCACACACAUGAACACCCACACGCAGAGAUGCCCCAGUACGUUUGGACACACAUAGCAGAGGCUCACCCCCAGAGCUUACAUGAGAACAAGAGAACACGCCUUUCUAGCCUCACACUACUCAGCACUAGAAUCUACUGGUCCAACAAGGCUAGUCUCAUUAGAAUGCCGUAAACUUACCCUGCAAAUCAGUGUUGGCCAGUCUCUGUGUUUUUUGUGGAUGAAUCCCCCAAAUGAUUUCAUUCAUCUUUCAAAGCUCAGCACCAAUCCAAUCUCCCUCAUAAAGUCUUCCUCAACUACUAUUAAUACCUCACCUCUAUGAAAGGCAGAGUGGCCAGUGGAAUGCAGCUCACAAGCAAAACUGGGGACCCGCUGCUAGAGCCCGGUGCCUUCCUGUCUGCAGCCUGGAGGCGGCUUUGACUGGCUCACUGAGUCUCCCAGCCCUUGGCACAGAACAGGCCCUUCGUCAACAAUGAACCUUCUCAUUGACUCUUAAGAAGCUGUGACUUUAUUCUGUAGGUAAUGGAAAUUCAGUGGACACUUCUAAGAAGAUUAACCCUGGGAGCUAAGUGAUGAGAACUUAUGAACACAAAGAAGGAAACAAAAGUCACUGGGGUCUACAGGGUGGAGGGUGGAAGGUGGGAGGAAGGAGAGGAGAAGACAAGAUAACUGUUGGGUACUGGGCUUGAUACCUGGGUGAUGAAAUAAUAUGGACAACAAACCCCUGUGACACAUCUCUACCUAUGUGACAUGUCUUUACCUAUGUUACCUAUUUAACAAAUAAAAGUUAAAAAAAAAGAAAAUUACAGAACACUGCUGGAAGAAAUAUUUAAAUAUUUAAAAAGAUUAACACAAUCAAAUCUGUGUCAUAGGAAAAACAAGUUUGGCAGUGGGGGUGGGAGGGGCUAGAUUCAAAGGGAGAAAAGCUAGAGGCAGGGAGACGGACAGUUAUUACAUUUCUGCAUGGGUUCAGUUUGUCAGCGGGCUCAUGAGCUGCUAGCUCCAGAAGAUGCCUGAGACCCCACGUAGUCCAAUUUCUUCACCUACAGCUGAGAAAACUGAGGUGGGGAGAAGAGAAGACACAGCACGUUCUAGCAAAAAGUCAACAAAGACAUGUAGCAAAACCAGACCUUUGCUACCCAACCUCAAGGCACAUACGCCACAGUGGAGGAUCAAGGCAGAGACAUAGGCAGCAGAAGAAAGAUCCAGAACAUAACAGGACCUAAUUACUUCCAACAUGAGUGACAAAGACCAUAAACCCCAAAGGAAUUGCAGCGAGGGAAGCAUCAGCACAAGCUGAGAGACACGGAGUGGAAUUUGUACUGGAAAAUGCAUGUCCAGGAAUUGUGAGUAGGCGUUGGGGGACCCCUCAGGAGUCCACCCAACUGACGGAAGAGAGUUAACAUGGGAUACAUGUGGUUGGACACAUGGGAUGCAGCAGGGGUAGCUCACGGAGGGCACUGAACCUCAAACUAAUGAAUCUGGACCAGACUUAAUUGGCAAAAUAUAGUCAGUGCAACUGCACCGGACCAAUCUGGCUCAACUUUUUUUUUUUUUUUUUUGAGACAGAUUUUUGCUCUGUCGCCAGGAUGGAGUGCAAUGGCGCAAUCUCGGCUCACUGCAACCUCCACCUCCUAGGUUCAAGCGAUUCCCCUGCCUCGCCUCCCGAGUAGCUGGGAUUACAGGCAUGCGCCACCACGCCUAGCUAAUUUUUGUAUUUUUAGUAGAGAUGGGGUUUCAUCAUGUUGGCCAGGCUGGUCUCAAACUCCUGACCUCAGGUGAUCCACCCAUCUCAGCCUCCCAAAGUGCUGGGAUUACAGGCGUGAGCCACCACACCCCACCCAGCUCAACUUUUAUGUAACAAAGUUAUGACUUGUUUUUCAGUCAUCAUGGACUCCCAGGUUGAAGGUCACAUGACCUGAGCCUGCCCAGGAGAUCUAAGUGUGCAACCACAGUGGGGACCUACGUGCUGGGACGGAGGAGCAGGGACUGAGUUAAGAAGCAGACACUGGAUGGUAGGAUCCGGGAUCCAAUCAGAUGGAGCUCCGGCAUCAUCCCAUGGCAGGAAGCAGUCAAACCAUGCCUCCCGGCAUCACCUCAUUGCAAGAUCCAUUUAGACCACACCUCAUUACCCUGCGCUUAUAAAACACAAACCAAACCCCAGCUUGGGGAGACAGACUUGAGCAUUUCCUACUGUCUCUUUGCCAGUUGAGUCGCAAUAAAGCUUUUUCUUUUCUCAAAAGCUGGCACAAUGGUAUUGGCCUCUAUGCGCAUUGGGCGUCAAGCCACUGAUUGCUAGGUUACAAGUGUUCUUGAAUAUAAGAACAGCUGGAUUAAAUUUGUAUCUUAGGAAGAUUUCAUCAGUCAGCCUUCAGUAUGAUUUAGAGAGGAGAGUAGAGUUGGAAUGACAGUUUUGAAGCUCAUGUAAAAAGUCAGUGUAUCUAUCAUUGUGCAUUGAAUAAUCCCAUAACUUAGUGGCUUAAAACAAUAAUCAGUGACUUGUAUCUCUCAAAGUUUCUGUGGAUCAGGAAGUCAGGAAUGGCUUGGCAAGGGUAGUCCUGGCUCAGUCAUGAGCUGGAGGCUUCAAGCAAAUGUCAGCCCCUGACCGCAAGUAACUUACCCGCCUCGGCCUCCCAAAGUGCUGGGGUUACAGGCAUGAGCCACCACGCCCGGCCUCCCUGCUUUAUUAUCUCCAUUUUGUAACUGACAGACACUAAUCCAAAAACCUCAGAGCUGAGGAAGCACAACCUUCAGACCAACUCUCAGAAGCAGGGCGGAAUGAGAAAGACACAGAACAGUACAAUGUUUGAAUCAUGAUGAAGCCUUUCAACAGCAUCAUCCAGGCUCAUCCUUCACUAAACCUCCCUACCUGCCUCCUGCCCCAUCCCUUCAUUUAGAGCUGGGUUCCUGCUGUGGGCAAACAUCUACUAGGGCCUGUAUGGGAGUAAAGCAGACCUCAGUUAGGGAGGCCAGCAGCAGAAAAACUCGACUUUCACUUUGGGUUUCUGUUUGACUCUUGAAAGCCACAUCACCAGGCCUCUUAUGCAGCUAGGAGCUAUGAAGGUGCAGGGAAAGAGCAAGAUCAGGGAGGGCAGCUCACAGAAAGCCUGUGCCUACCCACGUAACUGAAUUCUGCCACUUCAUGGAUACUGUGAAAGAACGCUCCACUUAAAGAGAGUCACUACACAGAUACCCUAACCUGUAAAACACAAUAACUGGGAACCAAUCAGCAAAAAGGUACUUUGGUCUAAUUUUUAGAGGAAUUGGUCUCCAAACAAGUCCCUCAGAACUAGUCAUGACAAUCUACUGGAGAUGGAAAGAGAUCUUAGAAAUUCAAUCCUACCUAGUGAAGAAAUUAAGUUCUAGCUGUUUCCUGUGUGACUGCUGCUGCUCUUCCUUUCUCUACACAUCAGCUGUGCAUGGCCCCCAGGUUGGGCGCCAUGCACAGCUAUCCUGGGGGUCUGGAUGGUGGUGGCCUGUGGCUCUCAUUUUUUCACUCCUUCACUCCUUCCACUGCUGCUGUGUGAGGCAGUUACCUGUGUCCAUUUAGACUGUCUAGUUUUAACCAGAUUCAUGCUUACAAAACAGGCAUAAAAGAUUCCUGCAAAGAAACUGCAGAGGGAAAAUAAAGUUAACCAAGAAAGCCAGCUGAUCCAGCAGAAAGGAGCAAUGGUGGCCUUUUCCCUACUCCUGACACAAGCUCUUCAACAGCCAUGAUAACAGAUAAAACAAUGGCAAUCGAAUCAGACCAGGCGAACAUUCAGCCACAAACACUGAAACCAUCAAGAAGAUGUAAAGACUGGAUUUAUAGCCACUAUCAAUCUCUCUUAUGUGUGUGUUGUGCCGUGACAGUGGCUAAUGAUAGCAUAAACCAUCCAGACAUUGACAGGCUAAACGAGAACAUGCAUAAAAGGACAGACCUUUACAGGUUCUUCAGCAAUGGUUAAAGUGAGGAAAUGUUUAAUUAAUCCACCACUUUGAAAGCUCACUGCACUUAACAACAAAUUUAAAAACUUCUUUCACAUCUUCUCACUUCAUAACAGUAGACUAAAAACAUCACUUAACAUUUGGGAAAUGCACAAUUUUUUCCCUACUAGGGAAUUAGAUUUCCUUGCUAGAGAAAAAAAAAAUGGCUGAAAUAAAAUACGAAAAACA
Molecule: long non-coding RNA, 4716 nt
Filed under: Homo sapiens (human)
Lineage: Eukaryota; Metazoa; Chordata; Mammalia; Primates; Hominidae
Description: HSALNT0023484
Source: RNAcentral